ACUGUUUGAGCAAUUGAAUAUUUUUUUAAUAUUGUUAUACAUUCUUUGACAUUUCCCCACAUUGUUUUUGGUCAUAUUUCUUCUCUCCUGUGUCCUGCCAGAUCCCUCUGACAUCCAAUGUGGUGUUCUCAAUUUGUUUUUAAUGCCAUGUAUUAACUCUUAGGUAUGUGGUUAUUCCCUGGACUGUGUUAGAGUUACCAGGAGCCACGCCCUUAAAGAGAACUAACUCUCCUCCUUUUCUCAGAAGCUAUCAUUUACCAAAGCUCCUCAGCCAGGAGAGGAACAUCCUGCACUUAGCCCUUCUUCAUGCUGGGAUCUUGUCUGGCUUGCGCUUGUGCAGAUCUUGUGAGCACUUCCUCAGUGACUGUAAACUCAUGCUUCCUUCUGAUCAUUCACCGCCUCUGGCUGUUCCGGUCCUCCUAACGCCUCUUCCACAGUGAUCCCUGACCCUUGGGAGGAGAGCGUGAUGUGUGAUAUCUCAUUUAGGGCUGAGCAUCUGAUGUCACUCUGGACACCUUUUCCAAUGGUGGAUCUCAGUAUCAGUCACCUACAACAGUAAAUAUCUUCUCAGAUCUUCAAAUGUGCACUAAUCUAUAAGUAUGAUGAAAACCACUAGAAGUCAAUUUAAUACUAUUUAAUACUCAUUAACAGAAUACUAGUGGUAGGUUCUCCCCUAGCUACUCUCUAGUCACAUAUUCUUGACCUUGAUAGCUGUCAGGAAUAAGUUCCCAUCUUGUGGAGUGGCUUUAAUUACAAUCAGAAAACGUGUACUUGGGCUCCAACCUGAGGGCAUAUUUAAUGGGAAGGUGCCCUUACCAAUUUAUUUGCCCUAGAUGAGGACAAAAACAGAAUUCGCUGGUACUGAUGCUCUUACUAGGGCCUAGAGAGUUCCAUGAAAGGUCAAGAAUGUAAUGCUGGGAAGAGACAAACAAAUGGCCUGUGUUGUUAUCAGCAAGCCAGACAUCCAGAAUUGUUUUCCCAAAUUUAUAAGCCUUAAAUCAAGUUGGUUAUUUGGGUAAAGUAUUCCUUGGCAUUGCUAUCAUUAUGGUUUGCAUUUAGUACUAAUACAUGCUUUGGGGCUCAGUAAUACCAAAGCUACUCCUAGAAACACACACUGGAAGUAAUUAAUGGUUAUUAUUAAUUAACUACAGUUCUGCUUCUAAAAAUCAAGAAAAAUUGUUGGCAUAUUAAACUUAGUGGCCCUCUGUGUAUUUCUGAUAGAAGAUGAGUAGAUUUUGAAGACUAUUUGACUGUGUUAUAAAAUGUUCUAGCUAGAGAGGUGACAUACUUCUUAAUAAACCCUGAGGCCACCCAACCCCCACUUACCUCAGUGGUAGACUUGGGACAGAAUAGAAGAUCCUGGCGUCCUGGGAGACAACCCUGUCCGAAGCUCAAGGAUGUCUUCCUGCCUGUAGAGAUAAAUUCUAUCUUCUCAGAUUGCAUACCAGCCAUGGGUCUAGAAGACUUUAGCAUUGCUCUUUUGAGAGCAUCCUAUGGCCUAGGAACCUACUUCUCACCAAUAUGGCAGUCUUUCCAUUGUUUUAUGGAAGUGAGGUGGGGUGGGUACUCAGCCUUGGUGUUGGAGCCCAUCCUUGCUACCUAACCCUAAACAAGAUUGCUCUAAGUAUGGAAUCCAUAGGUCCAAGAUUAAAUCUUGAAAGAAAGGAAAUUUGCUCAGAGAUUCAGGUCAGAAACAUGUUUUAUCUAAAGCUUUUAGUUUUCCUCUUGAUCUAUCUUCAAACUUACCAAGCCUUCAGCAGUUUCUCGAGGAGUCCUUUGAAAGGGUCUUGUGACCCUCCUCAACCAAAGCUCCUAAGGAAUGGUCUAUGUCGGUGGGAGAAGCACUUUAUCACUCAUGUUUGGUGCUGCCUCUUCACUGUCUAAUGCCAAGUAGCCUGCCUUACACCUUUCCAAGAUAUGUCAUCUCUAUCUCAACCAUGCAUCAUUGCUGAUGGUCUGGGGUUUCUAUGAGGACACAGAGCAUCCAAAUCCUACAUUUUCCUGAGAUGUGACUUGCUCCUCCCCCCAUCCUGGCAUAUUGUAAGAGUCAGUAAUGCAGUGCAAGAAAGAAGGGAACCUUUAGACUUCUGCAUCCAUGUUCCCACAGAGUUAAGGCAGUGUGGAUUCCCCUGAACACCCACAUUUCAACAGGACGAGCACCUUGAAGCAAAGAGGCUUACCUCACCCCAUCCAAAGACCAAAGUUCUAGUAAAGAAAGGGGCUUCAGAGGCGUUACCUUCUUUUGGUUUCACUCCCCAGACUUAACCAUACAAUGUAAGGUUUAUUGAGUGUUUCCAGUGCUGGGGCCUGCAAGUAACAGAAACAUUUUUUGAAAUAAUAUGUUACUAAUUUCUAAAAUGCCCAUGAAAGAGUUUUUUUUAAUACUUGACCUCUUAAUUUGUCUAUUAAAAAAUCAUCUUUUUGCUCUUUGACUUUAAAAUUCCCUUUUUUAAAUGUGUCCUUCAUCCAACUCAUUCCAACCACAACCAUUUGGAUCCAGAUAGGUGACUUUAUCUGUAAGUAAAAGGCUAGGCUCUAUUGGUACCAAAAAGGAAAGCUUGUAGCUUCAGAAGUCAUGGUUUAGUGCAAUCUCCUAUGUGCUGUGUCCUCUGACAGUAGCCAUGCCCUUAGUUUUAGUGCUAGAAUAUCUUAGAUAAACUGAUCCAUAUUAGCAUAUGUUUCAAGGUGACAGCUCUCCCACACCCAUCAGGGCAGAAGAUACCAUUUGGCUGGGCUGUAUGGGAAGCUCAGGCUCCGAGAAACAGGAUAUGAUCCUUGCCAUGUGGCUAUGGGAACGUGAGUUGACAUUAAGCAGCCCUUCCAUUUUCACCUGAGUGACAGCCACAAAGUGACUUCCAGGAAGCUCCAGAAAUAGUUUCAUCCUUCUCUAUCCUCUUUGAGCCUCCUCACUCUUGGGUUCUUCAGCAAUUCACUCUCAGGCUCUGACACUGAACGGACAUCUACAACUUCCCAGGAGUCUUCAGGGUGACCGUAAGAGCUGUGCAGACUACUGUCGUAGCCUCCCUAGUGGAGAGAGAACCCCAGGGGAAACCGAGGUGCUGGACACAACAGAUCACACUUAUAUUCCCAACACGUGGGUAGUGGAUGCAGGAGGAUUACCAGUUUGAGAGCAGCCUGGGCUUUGUAGGGAUAUCCUGUGUGUGGCAGGGGUGCGGGGAAUAAGUAACUAAGUGGCAAGGAGGAUGAGAGCAGGCAUGUGAUUUGAAUCCAGCACAGCAGCUUAGCAUGGCGUAAGGAGCCACAGUGGCAUGUUUUCUGUAUAAUAUUGCUGCAUAACUCUAGAUCUGUCUGUGCUAACACAUCCUUUGCCCUUAGAUGGGGUAAGCCCAUAACCAUCUUUAUAUGUCUGUACAGAAAGAAAGGACCCCUUUC
This 3393-nucleotide long non-coding RNA is filed under the name Mus musculus (house mouse). RNAcentral's name for it is "long non-coding RNA chr3:55483787-55487180". Lineage: Eukaryota; Metazoa; Chordata; Mammalia; Rodentia; Muridae. The record is from RNAcentral.